AAUCCAUUGCAUGCUAGUAUUUUUAGAGUGCAUUACUGUUUCAUCGAUUGAAAUUAAAUCAGGGUGACCCCCUGAGCCCUCCCGUGAGCUGUUUUUGCCUUCCUACAUGUGAUAAUGCUCUGGCUGCUGAAUGUGCCCUUUCCCCAGACUUGGUUUUGGAGUUAAGUCACCAUCAGUGGAGCCCUCUCUUUAAAAGAUGAAGAAAACAUUUGCUCCUUCUCCCUGGUUGGGGACUUGGAUGAGAUGAGAGUUCUACAUAUAGAUGGUUACAUUCUGUACCUGGAAAUUUCUACAAAAUUUCUUCCCACUAUCUCUCCAUCUGAGGCGGCAGCGUGCUCUCUUACCAGCAUCAGGAGCUCAGGG
This is a long non-coding RNA of Camelus dromedarius (Arabian camel), 363 nucleotides long. RefSeq lists it as uncharacterized. The record is from RefSeq and is a predicted model, not a curated record. The transcript is spliced from 3 exons. NCBI's taxonomy places the organism in Eukaryota, Metazoa, Chordata, Mammalia, Artiodactyla, Camelidae.